GAUGAACGCUGGCGGCGUGCCUAAUACAUGCAAGUCGAGCGAACAGACGAGGAGCUUGCUCCUCUGACGUUAGCGGCGGACGGGUGAGUAACACGUGGAUAACCUACCUAUAAGACUGGGAUAACUUCGGGAAACCGGAGCUAAUCCCGGAUAAUAUAUUGAACCGCAUGGUUCAAUAGUGAAAGACGGUUUUGCUGUCACUUCUAGAUGGAUCCGCGCCGCAUUAGCUAGUUGGUAAGGUAACGGCUUACCAAGGCAACGAUGCGUAGCCGACCUGAGAGGGUGAUCGGCCACACUGGAACUGAGACACGGUCCAGACUCCUACGGGAGGCAGCAGUAGGGAAUCGUCCGCAAUGGGCGAAAGCCUGACGGAGCAACGCCGCGUGAGUUAUGAAGGUCUUCGGAUCGUAAAACUCUGUUAUUAGGGAAGAACAAAUGUGUAAGUAACUAUGCACGUCUUGACGGUACCUAAUCAGAAAGCCACGGCUAACUACGUG
RNAcentral lists this ribosomal RNA (497 nucleotides) under uncultured bacterium. RNAcentral describes it as "partial 16S ribosomal RNA". It matches the Rfam family "Bacterial small subunit ribosomal RNA", at positions 28 to 507 of the family's 1533-position model. The record is from RNAcentral.